This 869-nucleotide ribosomal RNA is filed under the name uncultured Chloroflexota bacterium. RNAcentral's name for it is "bacterial SSU rRNA". It matches the Rfam family "Bacterial small subunit ribosomal RNA", at positions 28 to 916 of the family's 1533-position model. The record is from RNAcentral. Lineage: Bacteria; Bacillati; Chloroflexota.
GAUAAACGCUGGCGGCGUGCCUUAUGCAUGCAAGUCGAACGGUCCUUCCCGCAAGGGAAGGAUAGUGGCGAACGGGUGAGUAACGCGUAAGUAACCUGCCCCCAAGUAGGGAAUAACUCUGAGAAAUUAGAGCUAAUACCAUAUGUGGUGAUGGAGAUAAUGCUUCAUCACCAAAGCCUUAGGGCGCUUAGGGAGGGGCUUGCGUCUGAUUAGCUAGUUGGUAGGGUAAUGGUCUACCAAGGCGAUGAUCGGUAGCUGGUUUGAGAGGACAUUCAGCCACACUGGGAUUGAGAUACGGCCCAGACUCCUACGGGAGGCAGCAGCAAGGAAUUUUGUGCAAUGGGCGAAAGCCUGACACAGCGACGCCGUGUGGGGGAUGAAGGCCUUCGGGUUGUGAACCCCUUUUCUUAGGGAAGAAUAAUGACGGUACCUGAGGAAUAAGUCGUGGCUAACUACGUGCCAGCAGCCGCGGUAAUACGUAGGCGGCAAGCGUUAUCCGGAUUUAUUGGGCGUAAAGAGGGCGUAGGCGGUUUUUCAAGUCGAUUGUGAAAUCUCCCGGCUUAACUGGGAGGGGCCAGUCGAUACUGUUAGACUAGAGGGCAGCAGGGGGAGGUGGAAUUCCCGGUGUAGUGGUGAAAUGUGUAGAUAUCGGGAGGAACACCAGUGGCGAAGGCGGCCUCCUAGGCUGUUUCUAACGCUGAGGCCCGAAAGCGUGGGGAGCAAACAGGAUCAGAUACCCUGGUAGUCCACGCUGUAAUCGAUGGACACUAGGUAUAGGGAGUAUCGACCCUCUCUGUGCCGAAGCUAACGCAUUAAGUGUCCCGCCUGGGGAGCACGGCCGCAAGGCUAAAACUCAAAGGAAUUGACGG